RNAcentral lists this transfer RNA (70 nucleotides) under Ovis aries (sheep). It matches the Rfam family "tRNA". From Rfam's summary of the family: Transfer RNA (tRNA) molecules are approximately 80 nucleotides in length. Their secondary structure includes four short double-helical elements and three loops (D, anti-codon, and T loops). Lineage: Eukaryota; Metazoa; Chordata; Mammalia; Artiodactyla; Bovidae. The record is from Rfam by way of RNAcentral.
UCUUAGAUCUCAGAGGUUAAAGUGUCUGCCUCCAAUGCAGGAAACCCAGGUUCGAUCCCUGGGUUGGGAA